AGCGGGCAGGCCAGUGACUCCAGCUCAACCACACCAUGGAGGAUGUCUCUGUGGUCUCAUGUCCACCUUCAUUUGCAAGAUGUCUGCCACAGUUCCAGGUAAUCCGUGGGAUCUCAGGGGAAAGAAGACAGCUCCUCCUGUAUUGUGACAACUAGCAGGCACACAAAACUGAACAUCACGUGGGCCUUGACCUGGAGAGCUAGCAAGCAAACCGGCAUCCCAUGUCAUUUCAAAAUUGUAUAGUAAGCAAGGAGAGGCAUGCAGUGUUCUGGAAGCACAGAGAAGGAUCCCUCAGCUCUACUGAGGGAUGAUUCCUGGGGAGAGACCAAGUGGACUGGCUAUAGAUGCUGAGAAUGAGUUUCACUAUGAAGACAAUGCUGUAAGAUAAAGAUGCAGACAUACACAGUGUUUGAAGAAGUCUGGAUGAAAAUAACUCGCACUACCAUCUAUGCGGCUGCCCCACAGCCAGAGUGGAGAAGUACUGACAUUGUAGAAACCUUCACUUUCUAUGUACUGUUUACCUUUUUGUACAGUGCUAGUGAAUUAUCAGAAAGAAAAACAAAUUUUUCCAAAU
Long non-coding RNA from Lynx canadensis (Canada lynx), 574 nucleotides. RefSeq lists it as uncharacterized. The record is from RefSeq and is a predicted model, not a curated record. The transcript has 3 exons. Lineage: Eukaryota; Metazoa; Chordata; Mammalia; Carnivora; Felidae.